AGGCUUUGAUCCUGGCUCAGGACGAACGCUGGCGGCGUGCCUAACACAUGCAAGUCGAGCGAAGCAUAUUUUAUAGCUUGCUAUUUAAUAUGACUGAGCGGCGAACGGGUGAGUAACACGUGGGUGAUCUACCUGGAAGUCUGGGAUAACAGUUGGAAACGGCUGCUAAUACCGGAUGAAAUUGGUGAUAUAGAGUCAUCAAUCAAAGCGUUACGUAGUGCUUUCAGAUGAGCCCGCGUCCCAUUAGUUAGUUGGCAGGGUAAAGGCCUACCAAGGCGACGAUGGGUAGCCGGUCUGAGAGGAUGGUCGGCCACACUGGAACUGAGACACGGUCCAGACUCCUACGGGAGGCAGCAGUGGGGAAUUUUGCGCAAUGGGGGCAACCCUGACGCAGCGACGCCGCGUGAGCGAAGAAGGCCUUCGGGUUGUAAAGCUCUGUUGAGGGGGAAGAUAGUGACGGUACCCGUAUCAGAAAGCCCCGGCUA
RNAcentral lists this ribosomal RNA (485 nucleotides) under uncultured bacterium. RNAcentral's name for it is "bacterial SSU rRNA". It matches the Rfam family "Bacterial small subunit ribosomal RNA", at positions 8 to 499 of the family's 1533-position model. The record is from RNAcentral.